UACGGAGGGUGCAAGCAUUAAUCGGAUUUAUUGGGCGUAAAGGGCGCGUAGGCGGAAAAACAAGUCAGGUGUGAAAUUCCGGAGCUCAACUUCGGAGCUGCACUUGAAACUGUUUAUCUAAGAGGUAUGAAGGAGAAAAUGGAAUUCCACGUGUAGCGGUGAAAUGCGUAGAUAUGUGGAAGAACACCGGUGGCGAAAGCGGUUUUCUAUUUAUUACCUGACGCUGAGGCGCGAGAGCAAGGGGAGCAAACAGG
RNAcentral lists this ribosomal RNA (254 nucleotides) under uncultured bacterium. RNAcentral's name for it is "partial 16S ribosomal RNA". It matches the Rfam family "Bacterial small subunit ribosomal RNA", at positions 524 to 776 of the family's 1533-position model. The record is from RNAcentral.